This is a long non-coding RNA of Ictalurus punctatus (channel catfish), 2053 nucleotides long. The record is from Ensembl. Lineage: Eukaryota; Metazoa; Chordata; Actinopteri; Siluriformes; Ictaluridae.
AAAAAAAAUACGUCUCUGCAUAUUUCAGAGGUUACCUAGCUGCGUAAUUAUAUUUGCCAUUAGAAGACUGCACUGGAUUCCCCUUAUUGGUUUGAAAUUCCAUUAAAUAUAUUGCAAGAGCUCCCAGGUUAAGCUUGAUUUAAAUUUGCAUACAUUUUCAUACAUUUAGCAGAAAUAAAAGAAGGCUACCAGCCACCAGAAAGUCAUUAAAGACUGCAGUUUCUCUAAGGAGAGAGAUCAGGAGGAAAUACCGAGGAAGCUAACAGCCCCUAACAGAUACAAAGGAUACUGGACUGAGAAGAACCGCUCUGUAAUGGAUCUCUAUUCUCCAAACCACUCAGGCUAACUCUUUGAACAAUGUGAAGGACCAGAGCAGGAGGUGACAACAGUGCAAGAGUUUUGGUCCGCACCUGCACUAGUUUAUAUACAAAGGAUACUGGACUGAGAAGAACCGCUCUGUAAUGGAUCUCUAUUCUCCAAACCACUCAGGCUAACUCUUUGAACAAUGUGAAGGACCAGAGCAGGAGGUGACAACAGUGCAAGAGUUUUGGUCCACACCUGCACUAGUUUUUGUGUGUGUGUGUGUGUGUGUGUGUGUAUUUAUAAAUCAACAGUUUCACAGAGUGAACACUUUUAGUAGCUGUUGAUGUCUUUAUAGUCCACUGAUCCUCACAUUUAUUACCAGGGUAUUUCAAGUCAGUCUUCACAAAUCCAAGUUCCCGGAGGCAUUUCCGAUAAAGAAAGGGUCUAUAAUAUUUGAAUUUUAUACUACUUUUUUUUUUUCUUCUUCUUUCUACUGUUUACACGUUCCCCAUGAACCACACUCAUUCCUUGACUGCAGUGUGAGUUCAAUGAGCUGCCUUUGUUGUAAACUUCAGUUGCUCUUACAGUAGAUUAUGAUUACAAGCUCUGCACAUCAAGCCUCGUUUGAUUUCUAGGAUGUUAUUUGGUUAGUCUCCAAAUGGUUGAAGAUCAUGCAAAACAAUUUUAAUAAAAAGAAAAGAAAAGAAAAAAAAACAACAACAAAAACUGUUAGGUGACCUAAACAUAUCGUUCAUUCAAGCUAACGUAGCUAGCUACUGUACAGUGGAUGUAAAAAUACGUUAUGUGAUGUGUAAAAGAAAAAAAAAGAAAAGAAAAAGAGAGAGAGAGAGCGUUAAUGUGGUCUAGUUAUAUAACUACCAGAAUUCCAGUUAAAAAUAAAAAGAAAUAUUUUCUGGAGGAAAAGAAAAUGAAAAAAAAAAUAAUAAAAAAUCUCCCAAAAAAACAACAACUAAAAUAACCUCAGUGCUCAAGUGUGCACACCCCUUAACUAAUAUGUCGUUACAGUACCUUUUUCUUGUAAUACCACGCUUGGUCUUUUUGUGGUAGGGUCUACCAAGUACCAGCAUACAUUGAUUCAGUAGUUUUAUUCCACUCUUCCUUAUAAAAAUGCUCCAGAUCUAUCAAAUUGCAAAGGGAUCUCCUGUGCACAGCCCUCUUCGAAUUAUUUCACAGAAUUUUUAUUUAUUUAUUUUUUCAAUGGGAUUGUUGACAUGGGGUUGUUCUCCAAAAAGGCUCUAUCAGACUAUACCACGUUUUGCCACAUGGUUUGGGGUGAUUUAUUCAGCCUUGGAUCUUUUACUUUGUGAGAAAUGGCUUCUGCCUAGCGUGCAGAUUAUGAGAGAUUGUUGUCACAUGCAGGGCGUGAUCAGUUCUUGCCAGAUAUUCCUGUAGCUCUUCUAAUGUUGCCAUAAGUCUCUUGGCAGCCUCCUUCUUCUUGUCCAUUAGUCUUUUUUUUUAUAUAGAGCUAUGUCUUGUUUUGGUAAUGCCCCUGGUCUGGGUGCCCCAAUUUUCUCCACUUGUUGAGGAUGGCCUUCGAUGUGUUCCACAGUACAGCAAAUGUUUUGGAACUUCUUUUUUUUUUUUUUUGCGCCUCUCCUGAUGAAUGACCUUUGACAUUGAGAUCACGCACAUGUCCUUUGUGGACAGUCCCAUGGGAGCAGCAAGAUAUCAAGACAAUCAUCCGGAAACAUUUUGAUCUUUAUUUGUAUGAAAGUUACUUUUGAACGAG